Long non-coding RNA from Lagopus leucura (white-tailed ptarmigan), 4300 nucleotides. RefSeq lists it as uncharacterized. The transcript is spliced from 4 exons. Lineage: Eukaryota; Metazoa; Chordata; Aves; Galliformes; Phasianidae. The record is from RefSeq and is a predicted model, not a curated record.
ACAGCCAUGCUCUUUUCAGAGGCGCUCUGUGCCAAGACAGGAAGCAGCAGGCAUGAACUGGAACACAAGAGAUUCCAGCUAAACUUCAGGAAGAAUUUCUUCACCAUACAGGUGGCCCUGCUUGAACAGUGUGGGUUGGACCAGAUCACCUCCAGAAGCCCCUAUCAAACUCAAACAUUCUGCUAUUCCGUGAUCUACUGAAUACCUUUGCUCAAAUUGCUGAAGGAAAUUCCUAGCAGUAUCAAUCCCUCCAGGAAUGCCAAGCAAGUAUGGACAAUGAGCAAGGACAUUCUAACUAGGAAACUGGUUCAAGUAAGCACUGCGAUGGAUCAUUCUUCAGUUGAAGAGAUCUCAGUGCCUCAGAAUCCAAUGUCUUCCUCUACUUCAAAGAAUGUGGAUCAUCGAGUUCUCUAUAAUCACAUGGAGCAGUAAGACAGGAAGAGUCCAGAAAGUUCCCCUGGCCAUAACCAGACUCUUCAAGAUGGAUGUGUUCCCAUAGCAAACUGGUCCUACAUAUGAAACCUAAAUCUACCAUGACAUAUUUCUGAAAGAAAAGCAGUCAGUGACAUCCCUGUCUGAGAUACCAAUGUAAGUCUUCAUAUAAAGACAAUAAGCAAACUUAGCAUUAAGCUCCAUCACAACAAUGUAGCAAUCAAAUGAAAUCUGAAAAUAUUUUCAUUAAAGAAAAUUAUCUGGCUGCAUAAAUGCAUAUCUAGGAAAAACUUCCUAACCAGCACAGUAGCUUUCAUGCCUGAUAACUUCAUUCUAAUCUCAUAAAAACACCAAGAAAACUAGCACUGCACCUUCAAUUUGAAAGCAGUUCUUUUCUGACAGUGCGAUUUGUCAAAUCAUAUCUUUUUCAGAUAUACUAGUGUUUAUUUUGAAGUAUGAAUGAAAACUCUGUAUGUAUGGUACAGAAUAUUUAUAGUACAGAAAAAAAAAAAUCAAAGGGUUAUUUCAGUCAGUUUUUCCUUUACUGCUAUCAUAAUCUUCAAAUGUUUCAUUGGUUAGAAAGAUGAGAUUGGCUCUCUCAGAACCCCAAAACCAUGGAAAGUCAUAAAAGGCCUGCUUUCCUAACAAGCCUUUGUUUACAAGCAUAUUCCAAACAAAUGCUUAAAUACUAAGAAUCCCCACUAAGUCAUUACUUUAAUUAUGAGAUAACACAGGUUUUGUGCACGCGACUUCCAGAUUCUGGCAAUCUAAUGAUUCUAGCUGCUCUCCAGUCUGUCAGCCUAGAAGAUACAGUGCCUAUAAAAACAAACAGUAUUUUUGUCAGCUAUUUCAACUGUCAGCUCCUAGUUACUAUUUCAAACAGCUGUAGAAUAACAGUUGCCUUUAAUACUUUAAGCUACACAGCUGGGAAGCUGUGACUAAACAGCUCAGUGAUAUGAGGCCAUAACGUACAAAGCAACAAAAAGGAAAAGGAUGCAAGAAAAGCUGGCAUACGUGGUCCCGGCCCUCCUGGCUGCUUAAACUCAUGUUUGCCAAACAGUCUGACAGGCUGUCCAUCAACUGAAUCCUUAAAACCACUUCUCAUAAGGGAACCAGCAAAGAGGGAUAUUUUUAAGCUGGAUUUUUGCACACUUACAUACAACUUACAGUGAGACCUUGCAUACAGUUGGAGCAGCUUAACAGAGGAUUCACUGGAGUGAGAAAAACAAGGGGCUGAGGAUGAGAGGCAACGUAUCAAGUUGUCACAUGUGCAACUGCACACAACAACAGCAAGUUAAUUAGAAUUACUAUUUUUAAUCACAGAAAUACAACAGCUUUUUUUCCUUCCACUUGUAAGGUGAUUUAUGAAACAAAAAAUCCGCCCUUCCAAUACAGAAAGUUCCUUUAAAAGACUUGAUAAGCAGAUAAGGCAACACAGCAGAAUUUGUAUCUUCCUUUUCCCAAAUCAAGCCUACCUUCUCGGCGAUCAUUUCGAAGAACUCGCACUUUUUCAAUUUUUCCCAAUAGAGCACCAUCAUCAGCUUAAAAAUAAUAAUAAUAAUUAAAGUGAUCAAAACCAGUCUCAUUUACCACAAGUAUGUUUUUCUUCAAAAACAGAACAAAAACUUCAUAGUGGAAAGCAAUCAUAUUUACAAAUAAUUAAGAAUCAUGCUUAAAAAAUGCCUGUUUGUUUCUCCAGAAAUAAAGAAAAGUGACCAGGGUAAGAAAUUACCACCAUCAUUAUAUUAUUUAAAACUAAUUUUAUUUUACACUCAAAAUAUUUUUAAUCAAUUCUGCUCUUUUUGUUUACCUUGAGUAGUUUCUACAUUUCAUUAAGAAAAAAAAAAAAAAGAUUAAAACUUGUGUCUUCUUUGCUUACAGGAAAGCUUUUAAGCAACAUUAAGGUUUAAACUAACCUAAAGUAUCAAUCAGCAUUGCAAAUGUAGACAUUGACUUCCAUUAGAGUGUUACUCAGAGGUUCACUGUUCAAAUUAACAUUACAAUAUCCUAAAAGUUUUUAAAUCUUGACUUUCUUUAUUCACUAAGAAUUUUCCAAAAGUGAUGGAGAGCAGCAGCACUCCAAAGAAGUAUUUUGUGCAAGUGCCAUGGGUUUUAUUUUUGCAUCAUAAUGUACUAAGGGAAGGCUGUUUUCAACUCUAAACUCUGCUUCUUCUGCUAACAGGAAGUAAUAAAAUAGAUCUGAAGUAUUUUAGAACUCUUCAUGCUUCCACAAUGACAAACACAAAAGAAUUAAGAGCUGGUUUAGAACCAGACUUUACAAAUUCCCAUUCAUAUGACUAACUCCCAACUGAGUCACCUACUUUCAUUUAUGGAAAGACUCAGCAAAAUAAACAAAAUAACAUUUGGACACUAUAAAAGUACUUACGAUCAUUACUGUAGUCAUCCACUAGUAUGAUUUCCUUAAUAAGAUGUGAUGGGCUUUUUUUAAGGACACUGAAACAGACAAAAAAGCAUUCAAUACAAAGCAGUUUCCAUCUCACAUAAGCAGUGCUUUUAAUGACAUUAUUUGUUAAACUACAGUCUAAUACAGUCCAGGAUCCCAUCUUUCUACAACAGCUAUUAGCUUACUCAGUAAAGAGUUUGUGAAAAAAAGAGCACAGAGUUGUUCUUCCCUCAGAUUUCCAGCCUCCAGAAAUGAGUGAAUUAGACAGUUUGGACAAUGGAAGCUUUGCAGAUAUCCUCAGAUAAAGUAGCCCCUGAAAAAUCCAUCUUCCACGUAUUCUUCUUGAAACCAUUUAUACAACCAAUCUCAAGAUAUCUUCUUGCAAUUAAUUUCACACUUUCACAUGUUUGUAGUUAAGGGAAGCAUUUUUGUCUGUUUAAGAUCACUCUUUCAGGAUGUAAGACCUGGAGGCAUCAGUGAAAUUAAGAGCCAGCUUCAUCCUUUGUAAAUGGUACAAGAAAAGCAUAAUGGAUUGCUUUGGAUGAUGGAUUUGCUACUUCUCUUUACCAAAAGCUAUUCUAGCACAAGCAAAGUGCUUUUUGUGGGGAAAAAAAAAAAAAUACAAAGUCAUGGAUUGUCUCCCAGGCAUACCUGACAACAGUUCGAAGUAAAGCAGAUCUUGCCUCAUUAUGAAAGGUGAUCACCACACUAGUGGCUGGCAAAUCUAUCCGCCAUUGUUUCCGUUGACACCUGAAAGACAAAAAGCCUGUCAAUCUAACAUUUACAUUACAGUCUUAACAAACAGUCUUCAUCAAAAAGCAGUUAUCUACUAAAUUGUGUACACACUGUACCUACCUACAAAGAAUGAUGUAUCUUAUUUUCAAACGAGACGAUUUAUAAUCAGCUCCUCUUUUACCACUCUUGACACUCGUCUUUGUAUACAACAGACUGAGCCAGGGUCAGAUUUGGGUAGAUAAACAUUGCUGUACUACAAUCGCCGUAGUUUACUGUACAUACCUUUCAUGCAACUGAGUAUGAAACCAGAGUUCUAUUUCACUUCAAGACCACUUAUUAAGUCUAAGUAAAUGAGCACAUUAAUAAAAAAGCAGAGGUUCACAAGCUGUACGUGUCUCCUUUAGAAAAGCACUCAUCCACUUUCCCUUUUAUUUUUAAUACUGCAUCCUAGUCUUGCUUGUACAAGUAACUUCUCAUUAGCAUAGAAAACUGUUUAAGAUUGAGACUUACAAUAGCCCAUCUACACUAACUCAUUUUUCGUGAUCUCUUCAAAUAAUAAGCAAAAAAAACCCCAAAAUUCUAAAAAUACACCAACUCUUGUACAUCUACGUAAAAUUAAGCUACUUGAAUACCUUGACAAUAAACCUAAAAAAGGACUCGUUCUGCAAUGAGAAUAGCAUACUAAAAAUGGUGUAACAAAGAGUUUGUAUUAAAAUCAUUGCUGUCUGA